AUUGAACGCUGGCGGCAGGCCUAACACAUGCAAGUCGAGCGGAUGAAGGGAGCUUGCUCCUAGAUUCAGCGGCGGACGGGUGAGUAAUGCCUAGGAAUCUGCCUGGUAGUGGGGGAUAACGUCCGGAAACGGGCGCUAAUACCGCAUACGUCCUGAGGGAGAAAGUGGGAGAUCUUCGGACCUCACGCUAUCAGAUGAGCCUAGGUCGGAUUAGCUAGUUGGUGGGGUAAAGGCCUACCAAGGCGACGAUCCGUAACUGGUCUGAGAGGAUGAUCAGUCACACUGGAACUGAGACACGGUCCAGACUCCUACGGGAGGCAGCAGUGGGGAAUAUUGGACAAUGGGCGAAAGCCUGAUCCAGCCAUGCCGCGUGUGUGAAGAAGGUCUUCGGAUUGUAAAGCACUUUAAGUUGGGAGGAAGGGCAGUAAGUUAAUACCUUGCUGUUUUGACGUUACCAACAGAAUAAGCACCGGCUAACUUCGUG
This 484-nucleotide ribosomal RNA is filed under the name uncultured bacterium. RNAcentral's name for it is "partial 16S ribosomal RNA". It matches the Rfam family "Bacterial small subunit ribosomal RNA", at positions 30 to 507 of the family's 1533-position model. The record is from RNAcentral.